This 486-nucleotide ribosomal RNA is filed under the name uncultured bacterium. Its description in RNAcentral is "partial 16S ribosomal RNA". It matches the Rfam family "Bacterial small subunit ribosomal RNA", at positions 27 to 507 of the family's 1533-position model. The record is from RNAcentral.
GGGGGGGGGGGGGGGGGGGCGGGGGGGGGGCGGGGGGGGGGGGGGGGCGGGUGCGGGCGGCUGGCGGGGAGUGGCGAAGGGGGGAGGAGGGGGUCGGACGGGGGCGUGUGGUGGGGGGUAGGGCGGCGAGAGGCGGAUGAAGACCGCAUAGUAUCUACGGAUGAACGCGGGGGACUUCCGUGCCUCAGGCGAGAGGGUUGGCCGAUGUCUGGUUAGCUAGUUGUGGGGGUAAGGGCCUACGAAGUCGACGAUCAUGAGCUGGUCUGAGAGGACGACCAGCAAGCCUGUGACUGAGACACGGCCCAUACUCCUACGGGAGGCAGCAGUGGGGAAUUUUGGGCAAUGGGGGAAAGCCUGAUCCAGCAAUGCCGCGUGUGUGAAGAAGGCCUUCGGGUUGUAAAGCACUUUUGUCCGGAAAGAAAUCCUUGGCCCUAAUACGGUCGGGGGAUGACGGUACCGGAAGAAUAAGCACCGGCUAACUACGUG